Molecule: ribosomal RNA, 240 nt
Filed under: uncultured bacterium
Lineage: Bacteria
Description: partial 16S ribosomal RNA
Rfam family: Bacterial small subunit ribosomal RNA
Source: RNAcentral
GAUCCUGGCUCAGGAUGAACGCUGGCGGCGUGCCUAACACAUGCAAGUCGAGCGAAGCGUUUUAAAGGAAGUUUUCGGAUGGAAUUUGAAAUGACUGAGCGGCGGACGGGUGAGUAACGCGUGGGUAACCUGCCUCAUACAGGGGGAUAACAGUUAGAAAUGACUGCUAAUACCGCAUAAGCACACAGUACCGCAUGGUACAGAGUGAAAAAACUCCGGUGGUAUGAGAUGGACCCGCGU